GGGAUAUUCUUCAGUGUUGGUAGUGGGGAUAUUCUUCAGUGUUGGUAGAGGGGAUAUUCUUUAGUGUUGGUAGUGAGCUGUGUGUUACAGGGGAUAUUCUUUAGUGUUGUUAGUGGGGAUAUUCUUUAGUGUUGUUAGUGGGGAUAUUCUUUAGUGUUGUUAGUGGGGAUAUUCUUUAGUGUUGUUAGUGAGAUGUGUGUUGGGGGGGAUAUUCUUAGGUCUUAAGAAAGCCGGUGUCCCUGGGGCUCCCUUCUUCCCCUGGGAAAAAUAGACCUUUUUGACCUGUUCGAGAUUUUAUAUUAUUUCCACAUGGGUUGAAGACAAAAAGAGAGAUGAGAGGAAGGGGGGAUUGAGGUUGAGAAGAGAUAAUGAGGAAGAGGGAGAGGGGAAUGAGGUUGAGAAGAGAAUGAGGAAGAGGGAAAUUAGGUUGAGAAGAGAAAACGAAUGAGGUUGAGAAGAGAUAACGAGGAAGAGGGGAAUGAGGUUGAGAAGAGAUAACGAGGAAGAGGGGAAUGAGGUUGAGAAGAGAUAACGAGGAAGAGGGGAAUGAGGUUGAGAAGAGAUAACGAGGAAGAGGGGAAUGAGGUUGAGAAGAGAUAAUGAGGAAGAGGGAGAGGGAAAUUAGGUUGAGAAUAGAUAAUGAGGAAGAGGGAGAGGGAAGUGGGGUUGAGAAGAGGGGAAUGAGUUUGAGAAGAGAUAACGAGGAAGAGGGGAUUGAGGUUGAGAAGAGGGGAAUGAGUUUGAGAAGAGAUAACGAGGAAGAGGAAAAUUAGGUUGAGAAGAGAGAAGGUUGAGGUUGAGAAGAGAGAAGAGGGGAAUGAGUUUGAGAAGAGAUAACGAGGAAGUUGUUUGUGUUUUUAUAUUUGUGCUGGAGUCGUCUUGGACAUUUUAGAGCCUUUCCAGACCAUCAGUGUUUCUCAUAUAUAUACAGUGCCUUGCGAAAGUAUUCGGC
Long non-coding RNA from Oncorhynchus tshawytscha (Chinook salmon), 952 nucleotides. Lineage: Eukaryota; Metazoa; Chordata; Actinopteri; Salmoniformes; Salmonidae. The record is from Ensembl.